CACAAAUAUUAUAAUUAAAUUUUUUUAAUGAAAGUUAAAAUAAAAAAGAUAAAAAAGAAAAAUAAAUUUUUAAGUAAAAUUUAAAUUUUAUUUAAAAUUUUUAUAUAUAAAAUUUUUGAAGCUUAGAAAAUUUAAUUUUUAAACUAGGAUUAGAUACCCUAUUAUUUGAAUUGUUAAUGAUAAACAUUUAGGUAGUAAUAAUUAAUUUUUUAAAACUUAAAAAAUUUGGCGGUAUUUUAUUCUGUUUAGAGGAACUUGUUCUGUAAUUGAUAAUCCACGAAUAUUUUACUUUUUUUCGUUUUCAGUUUAUAUAUCGUUGUCAUAAGAAUAUUUUAAUAGAAAAAAUAAUUUUCAGGAUUUUAAAUUAAAAAGAAUGUCAAAUCAAGGUGUAGUUUAUGGAAAAGUAGAAAUGAGUUACAAUAAAAUUUAUUUAUAAUGGAUAAUUUUUUGAAAAAGAGGUUUGAAGGUGGAUUUAAAAGUAAAUUAAUUGAUAAAAAUUAAUUGAUUAGAGUUUUAAAAUAUGCACAUAUCGCCCGUCGCUCUCGUUAUUUAUAUAUUAAAUGAG
Molecule: ribosomal RNA, 565 nt
Filed under: Chironomidae sp. MT-2021
Lineage: Eukaryota; Metazoa; Arthropoda; Insecta; Diptera; Chironomidae
Description: partial 12S ribosomal RNA
Source: RNAcentral